CCCGGGACGUGGGGCUCCCGGGCUCCUGAGCUGCUCGGGUUCCGCGCUGCCGGGAGUGCUUGGGGGCGCCUUAGCGCGGGACUCCGUUCUUUUCAGGAAAGGGUGUUGCGACCAUCUUUGUCCCCGGGCCUUCAGCUGCAGACCUUCGGGGCCCUCGCUGAUUCUAGUGCUAUAGAAACCCCAUGUGUGUGUAAGCAUACGGUACCGGCCCUUUCAUGACUGGCUGAUUUCAUGGAACCUGAUGCCAUUGAGGUCCAUCUACGCUGCGGCAGGUGUCAGACGCCCCUUCCUCUGUUUAGCUGAACAGUUUCCGGAUGUAUGGAUGGAGCGCUUCGUGCCCAUUCACUCACCUGUUGGUGGACACGUGGGCAGCUCUGAUCUCUCAGCUCCUGAACAGCUGGAAGGCAAGAUUCAACUAGGACUGUCCACAGAGCUCCUCCCUGUGGCCUUUCAGGAUGGUGGUCUCAGGGUAGCUGGACGUCUUGCAUGACAGCUCAGAGCUCCCAGAGACACUGUCCCAAGAGACAGUAGGUGGAAGCUGCCAGUCUCUCAGGCUAGGACCAGAAACCAGCACUGCUGCACCCACAAAGUUUUGGUGGUGAUGAAAUAAACAUAACAUUUAUCAUUUUAAUCCUUCAUAAGUGGCAUUAAAUACAUUUAUAAUGUUUAUAACCAUUGCCAGUGUCGAUACCUAAAACUUUUUCAU
Molecule: long non-coding RNA, 706 nt
Organism: Cebus imitator (Panamanian white-faced capuchin)
Lineage: Eukaryota; Metazoa; Chordata; Mammalia; Primates; Cebidae
Exons: 3
Source: RefSeq, a predicted model, not a curated record